AAAGAUUAAGCCAUGCAUGUCUAAGUAUAAACGAUCUAAUCGUGAAACCGCGAAUGGCUCAUUAUAACAGCUAUAAUUUACUUGAUCUUGACACUAUCCUACUUGGAUAACUGUGGUAAUUCUAGAGCUAAUACAUGCAUUAAAGCUCUGACCUCACGGGAAGAGUGCACUUAUUAGAACAAAACCAAGCGGCUUCGGCUGUUUUCGGUUGACUCAUAGUAACUGAGCUGAUCGCACGGCCUUGCACCGGCGACGUGUCUUUCAAGUAUCUGCCGUAUCAACUUUCGAUGGUAGUGUAUCUGACUACCAUGGUGAUCACGCGUAACGGAGAAUAAGGGUUCGGCUCCGGAGAGUUCGCCUGAGAAAUCGCGAACACAUCUAAGGAAGGCAGCAGGCGCGAAAAUUACCCACUCUCAGCACGAGGAGGUAGUGACGAAAAAUAACGAGACCGUUCUCUUAUGAGGCCGGUCAUCGGAAUGGGUACAAUUUAAACCCUUUAACGAGUAUCUAUGAGAGGGCAAGUCUGGUGCCAGCAGCCGCGGUAAUUCCAGCUCUCAAAGUGCAUAGAAUUAUUGCUGCGGUUAAAAAGCUCGUAGUUGGAUCUGUGCCAUAGGACGUGGUCCACCUUCUGGGUGCGUACUAUGUUCCUAGGCUUUUUGCUGGUUUUCCCGUCGUAGCCUUCAUUGGUUGCGGCGGGUGGCUGGCGAGUUUACUUUGAGAAAAUCAGAGUGCUCAACACAGGCGUAUCGCUUGAAUGAUUGUGCAUGGAAUAAUAGAAAAGGAUUUCGGUCCUCUUUUAUUGGUUUUGUGGACUGAGAUAAUGGUUAACAGGGACCAACGGGGGCAUUCGUAUCGCUGCGUGAGAGGUGAAAUUCUUGGACCGUAGCGAGACGCCCUACUGCGAAAGCAUUUGCCAAGAAUG
This 922-nucleotide ribosomal RNA is filed under the name Chiloplacus propinquus. RNAcentral describes it as "SSU rRNA". It matches the Rfam family "Eukaryotic small subunit ribosomal RNA", at positions 39 to 966 of the family's 1831-position model. The record is from RNAcentral. Lineage: Eukaryota; Metazoa; Nematoda; Chromadorea; Rhabditida; Cephalobidae.